This 468-nucleotide ribosomal RNA is filed under the name uncultured bacterium. RNAcentral's name for it is "partial 16S ribosomal RNA". It matches the Rfam family "Bacterial small subunit ribosomal RNA", at positions 28 to 507 of the family's 1533-position model. The record is from RNAcentral.
GAUGAACGCUGGCGGCGUGCUUAACACAUGCAAGUCGAACGGAAAGGCCCAAGCUUGCUUGGGUACUCGAGUGGCGAACGGGUGAGUAACACGUGGGUGAUCUGCCCUGCACUUCGGGAUAAGCCUGGGAAACUGGGUCUAAUACCGGAUAGGACGAUGGUUUGGAUGCCAUUGUGGAAAGUUUUUUCGGUGUGGGAUGAGCUCGCGGCCUAUCAGCUUGUUGGUGGGGUAAUGGCCUACCAAGACGUCGACGGGUAGCCGGCCUGAGAGGGUGUACGGCCACAGUGGGACUGAGAUACGGCCCAGACUCCUACGGGAGGCAGCAGUGGGGAAUAUUGCACAAUGGGCGCAAGCCUGAUGCAGCGACGCCGCGUGGGGGAUGACGGCCUUCGGGUUGUAAACUCCUUUCGCUAGGGACGAAGCGUUUUUGUGACGGUACCUGGAGAAGAAGCACCGGCUAACUACGUG